Molecule: ribosomal RNA, 555 nt
Filed under: Sphingomonas sp. A37C3
Lineage: Bacteria; Pseudomonadati; Pseudomonadota; Alphaproteobacteria; Sphingomonadales; Sphingomonadaceae
Description: bacterial SSU rRNA
Rfam family: Bacterial small subunit ribosomal RNA
Source: RNAcentral
UCAUAGUGGCGCACGGGUGCGUAACGCGUGGGAAUCUGCCUUGGGGUACGGAAUAACUCAGAGAAAUUUGAGCUAAUACCGUAUGAUGUCUUCGGACCAAAGAUUUAUCGCCCUGAGAUGAGCCCGCGUAGGAUUAGCUAGUUGGUGGGGUAAAGGCCUACCAAGGCGACGAUCCUUAGCUGGUCUGAGAGGAUGAUCAGCCACACUGGGACUGAGACACGGCCCAGACUCCUACGGGAGGCAGCAGUGGGGAAUAUUGGACAAUGGGCGAAAGCCUGAUCCAGCAAUGCCGCGUGAGUGAUGAAGGCCUUAGGGUUGUAAAGCUCUUUUACCCGGGAAGAUAAUGACUGUACCGGGAGAAUAAGCCCCGGCUAACUCCGUGCCAGCAGCCGCGGUAAUACGGAGGGGGCUAGCGUUGUUCGGAAUUACUGGGCGUAAAGCGCACGUAGGCGGCUUGGUAAGUUAGAGGUGAAAGCCUGGAGCUCAACUCCAGAAUUGCCUUUAAGACUGCCGAGCUAGCAGGUGAGAGAGGUAAGUGGAAUUCCGAGUGUAGAG